AACUCGAAAGACUGCGUACCAAUAGUAAUACCGCGUGCGUGCAGGCUAGUUUAUGCCGUAUCACUAUUUGCGAGAGCUUAUCUUGCACUAAACAUUUUCACUUAUCGGCAGCGCGGGUCAAGUGGAUGUAUCCACCUACUAUUUAACUUAUGACUUAUGUGUAGUGAAUUACUAUUGUUUCUCACGCUUUCGAGUUGAUGAUUUUUUUAAUUUUUUCAAAACAAAAGCAUUUUUUUUUAGUAAGUUUAACUAUAUGUUUCGAUAGUAUUACUGAGGACAAAUCGUUCUGCCACGGGAAGACAACCACUAAAAUUUCAGCGUGUAUAGUAACCUAUGUAACCC
Long non-coding RNA from Maniola jurtina (meadow brown), 342 nucleotides. RefSeq lists it as uncharacterized. The record is from RefSeq and is a predicted model, not a curated record. NCBI's taxonomy places the organism in Eukaryota, Metazoa, Arthropoda, Insecta, Lepidoptera, Nymphalidae. The transcript has 3 exons.